GUGAAUCAUCAAAUUUUUGAACGCAAAUUGCACUCUCUUCGGAGAGUAUGCCUGUGUGAGGGUCAGCCUAAAAAAAAUCGACGUAGUCGCUGUUUCUCGGUGACAUUCGUCUGAAAUUGGGUCAUCUUAAACCUUUUGGUUUUAAUCGUCUUAAAAUUUUCUGUACGAUUCCACGAACGUUUCUAAGAUGUACUUACACGUUUAAGGUAUCGAUCUUUAUUAUUCUUUGCCUUUUCUUCUGAUCGCGUCCAUAAAAUUUUCUUUAUC
Molecule: unclassified non-coding RNA, 267 nt
Filed under: Glomus sp.
Lineage: Eukaryota; Fungi; Glomeromycota; Glomeromycetes; Glomerales; Glomeraceae
Description: partial contains 5.8S ribosomal RNA and internal transcribed spacer 2
Rfam family: 5.8S ribosomal RNA (bases 1-65)
Source: RNAcentral